UGGGGAAUAUUGCACAAUGGGGGAAACCCUGAUGCAGCGACGCCGCGUGAGUGAAGAAGUAUUCGGUAUGUAAAGCUCUAUCAGCAGGGAAGAUGAUGACGGUACCUGAGUAAGAAGCCCCGGCUAACUACGUGCC
RNAcentral lists this ribosomal RNA (136 nucleotides) under uncultured bacterium. Its description in RNAcentral is "partial 16S ribosomal RNA". It matches the Rfam family "Bacterial small subunit ribosomal RNA", at positions 355 to 509 of the family's 1533-position model. The record is from RNAcentral.